CUGUGUCGGAUAAAGUUCUAGAUAGAAUAAUGAUGAUGACAAUUUUCUAUCUAUAUGUCUUGACCAAAUCUUGUGCCAGCAGUCGCGGCAGCACAAGGGAGACUAGUGUUAUUCAUCUUUAUUAGGUUUAAAGGGUACCUAGACGGUAUAUCAUGCCCCAAAAGGGAACGGAUAUACUAGAGUUUUAUGUGAGAGGCAAAUAUAGUACUAUUGGUGUAGAGAUAAAAUUCACUGAUCCCUCUAGGCACGGGUAACGGCGAAGGCAAUCCUCUAUGUAAAAACUGACGUUGAGGGACGAAGGCUCGGGUAGCGAAUAGGAUUAGAUACCCUAGUAGUCCGGGCAGACAAUUAUGAAUGUCAUAGAUUAGAAUAUAAAGAAGCAAGUAGGUUUGCUACAAAGACUGUAUUCUUGAGAGUCUUGUUAUUAAAUUAUACAGUCCCCCUACUUAGCUAGUUUAGAUAAUUAACUUUUAAACUUCCUUAAACGAGAAUCUCCGCUUGACCCCUCCUCCUCAUUCUGAGGAGGGGGCUUCUUCUCCUCUCCUAAUUAUGGGUGGAGAGGCCUCACUCCUUCUCUGACAAGGAGGAGGCCCUGUGCGGAGGAGAGGGAGGAGAAGGGAAGUUUAAGGAAGGUUUAUUACCUCUUCUAAUAAACCUUAUGGUUAGUUAUCUACUAGUUUUUUUUCCCUUAAACAAGUAGCUAUGUUAAAAAGGGAGAACCGGGUAAAGGUUUGCUUCUUUACCUUCCUUUUUUUUGGUCUAUAAAUGAAAGUGUAAGCAUUCCACCUCAAGAGUAAGGCGGCAACGUUGGAACUGAAAUCAUUAGACCGUUUCUGAAACCAGUAGUGAAGUAUGUUAUUUAAUUCGAUGAUCCUCGAAAAACCUUACCACAAUUUGAAUGUUAAUUAAUAAAAUUAACACAGGCGUUGCAUGGCUGUCUUCAGUUAAUGUCGUGAGACUUGGUUAGAUCCAGGAAAUUAUCGUAAACCCUUGUUCUUUAUUGUUUGAA
Molecule: ribosomal RNA, 1009 nt
Filed under: Diplodia africana
Lineage: Eukaryota; Fungi; Ascomycota; Dothideomycetes; Botryosphaeriales; Botryosphaeriaceae
Description: partial small subunit ribosomal RNA
Rfam family: Bacterial small subunit ribosomal RNA
Source: RNAcentral